UCUGAAUCUGCGUACGGCUCCGCACACCAGUUGUAAACCAUAGCAAGCACGAUCGGUAUCCGGCCUUCACGGGUCGGGUGCCGGUCAAUAAGGAUAACCCUGGUAAUUCUGAGGCUAAUACUAGACUGUAAUCCCUGGCCGACCGGCAACGGGAAGCUGGGGGACGUGUGAUUAGGCGCAAGAAAAGCCGGGAAAGAAUGCACGUCCAGACCGCGACAAAAACGGAUCGGUUUCGGCCGGCCCGAGCGGCUCUUGCGGGGUGCUUCUGACCUAUCAACUAGAUGGCAGCGUAACGGGCAUGCUAUGGU
This 308-nucleotide ribosomal RNA is filed under the name Lamproderma piriforme. RNAcentral's name for it is "bacterial SSU rRNA". It matches the Rfam family "Eukaryotic small subunit ribosomal RNA", at positions 80 to 350 of the family's 1831-position model. Lineage: Eukaryota; Evosea; Eumycetozoa; Stemonitida; Stemonitidae. The record is from RNAcentral.